RNAcentral lists this non-coding RNA (28 nucleotides) under Cricetulus griseus (Chinese hamster). Lineage: Eukaryota; Metazoa; Chordata; Mammalia; Rodentia; Cricetidae. The record is from RNAcentral.
UAAUGUGGUUGGGGGGUAGGGGGGCACA